AGUCAACCUACCCUAUGGACGGGAAUAACCUCGGGAAACUGAGUAUAAUGCCCGAUAGAACACUAUUCCUGGAAUGGUUUGUGUUCCAAAUGAUUUAUCGCCGUAGGAUGGGACUGCGGCCUAUCAGUUUGUUGGUGAGGUAAUGGCCCACCAAGACUAUUACAGGUACGGGCUCUGAGAGGAGUAGCCCGGAGAUGGGUACUGAGACACGGACCCAGGCCCUAUGGGGCGCAGCAGGCGAGAAAACUUUGCAAUGUGCGAAAGCACGACAAGGUUAAUCCGAGUGGUUUCUGCUAAAGGAACCUUUUGACAGUCCUAGAAACACUGUUGAAUAAGGGGUGGGCAAGUUCUGGUGUCAGCCGCCGCGGUAAAACCAGCACCUCAAGUGGUCAGGAUGAUUAUUGGGCCUAAAGCAUCCGUAGCCGGCUCUGUUAGUUUUCGGUUAAAUCUGUACGCUCAACGUACAGGCUGCCGGGAAUACUGCAGAGCUAGGGAGUGGGAGAGGUAGACGGUACUCGGUAGGAAGGGGUAAAAUCCUUUGAUCUAUUGAUGACCACCUGUGGCGAAGGCGGUCUACCAGAACACGUCCGACGGUGAGGGAUGAAAGCUGGGGGAGCAAACCGGAUUAGAUACCCGGGUAGUCCCAGCUGUAAACUAUGCAAACUCAGUGAUGCAUUGGCUUGUGGCCAAUGCAGUGCU
Molecule: ribosomal RNA, 699 nt
Filed under: uncultured marine archaeon
Lineage: Archaea
Description: bacterial SSU rRNA
Rfam family: Archaeal small subunit ribosomal RNA
Source: RNAcentral